UGCAGUCGAACGGAAAGGCCUUUCGGGGUACUCGAGUGGCGAACGGGUGAGUAACACGUGGGUGAUCUGCCCUGCACUUUGGGAUAAGCCUGGGAAACUGGGUCUAAUACCGGAUAGGACCACGCGCUUCAUGGUGUGUGGUGGAAAGCUUUUGCGGUGUGGGAUGGGCCCGCGGCCUAUCAGCUUGUUGGUGGGGUGAUGGCCUACCAAGGCGACGACGGGUAGCCGGCCUGAGAGGGUGUCCGGCCACACUGGGACUGAGAUACGGCCCAGACUCCUACGGGAGGCAGCAGUGGGGAAUAUUGCACAAUGGGCGCAAGCCUGAUGCAGCGACGCCGCGUGAGGGAUGACGGCCUUCGGGUUGUAAACCUCUUUCAGCACAGACGAAGCGCAAGUGACGGUAUGUGCAGAAGAAGCACCGGCCAACUACGUGCCAGCAGCCGCGGUAAUACGUAGGGUGCGAGCGUUGUCCGGAAUUACUGGGCGUAAAGAGCUCGUAGGUGGUUUGUCGCGUUGUUCGUGAAAACUCACAGCUUAACUGUGGGCGUGCGGGCGAUACGGGCAGACUGGAGUACUGCAGGGGAGACUGGAAUUCCUGGUGUAGCGGUGGAAUGCGCAGAUAUCAGGAGGAACACCGGUGGCGAAGGCGGGUCUCUGGGCAGUAACUGACGCUGAGGAGCGAAAGCGUGGGGAGCGA
This 697-nucleotide ribosomal RNA is filed under the name Mycolicibacterium grossiae. RNAcentral's name for it is "bacterial SSU rRNA". It matches the Rfam family "Bacterial small subunit ribosomal RNA", at positions 56 to 771 of the family's 1533-position model. Lineage: Bacteria; Bacillati; Actinomycetota; Actinomycetes; Mycobacteriales; Mycobacteriaceae. The record is from RNAcentral.